This 540-nucleotide ribosomal RNA is filed under the name uncultured archaeon. RNAcentral's name for it is "bacterial SSU rRNA". It matches the Rfam family "Archaeal small subunit ribosomal RNA", at positions 457 to 997 of the family's 1478-position model. The record is from RNAcentral.
GCCAGCAGCCGCGGGAACACGGCAGCUCUAGUGGUAACAAUUUUAUUGGGCCUAAAGCGUCCGUAGCCGGUUUAAUAAGUCUCUGGUGAAAUCCUGUAGCUUAACUGUGGGAAUUGCUGGAGAUACUAUUAGACUUGAGACCGGGAGAGGUUAGAGGUACUCCCAGGGUAGAGGUGAAAUUCUGUAAUCCUGGGAGGACCGCCUGUUGCGAAGGCGUCUAACUGGAACGGUUCUGACGGUGAGGGACGAAAGUUAGGGGCGCGAACCGGAUUAGAUACCCGGGUAGUCCGUAAACUGUAAACGAUGCGGACUUGGUGUUGGGUGGCUUUGAGCUGCUCCAGUGCCGAAGGGAAGCUGUUAAGUCCGCCGCCUGGGAAGUACGGUCGCAAGACUGAAACUUAAGGAAUUGGCGGGGGAGCACCACAACGCGUGGAGCCUGCCGGUUUAAUUGGAUUCAACGCCGGACAUCUCACCAGAGGCGACAGCUGUAUGAUAGCCAGGUUGAUGACUUUGCUUGACUAGCUGAGUAGUGGUGCAUGG